UACGGAGGGUGCAAGCGUUAAUCGGAAUUACUGGGCGUAAAGGGCGCGUAGGCGGUUUGGUAAGUUGGGUGUGAAAGCCCCGAGCUCAACUCGGGAAUUGCAUUCAAAACUGCCAGGCUAGAGUGUGGUAGAGGGAAGCGGAAUUCCAGGUGUAGCGGUGAAAUGCGUAGAUAUCUGGAGGAACAUCAGUGGCGAAGGCGGCUUCCUGGACCAACACUGACGCUGAGGCGCGAAAGCGUGGGGAGCAAACAGG
Molecule: ribosomal RNA, 253 nt
Filed under: uncultured bacterium
Lineage: Bacteria
Description: partial 16S ribosomal RNA
Rfam family: Bacterial small subunit ribosomal RNA
Source: RNAcentral